CAGUGGUUGCUAGGGGCGCUCGGAGCUGAAGGCGUGUGGUGAGAGUUUACUUUUUAAGAGCUGUUGUGAACCGGUGCCAAGAUUGUCUACUGGGGAAUUUUAUGGCGAGCCAGACUGUCUGAACCCUGGUUUAAUGGGUCCCUAUCAGAGAGCGUUUGUCCCAGGCUCUCCUCGCUUCCCACCCGCCCGGCUGUUAGCUGUAUUCCCCGCUCUUCCGGCUUCGACGCACACUUCCUCCAGGUGCUGUGACUGCCUCCAGGACUGAACUUGGGAAAUAAUGGGAUGCGUCUGAACCGGUGCUGUGAGCGAGUCCAUUCACUUUAGCCCACCCCUCCCAUGGCUCGUUUGCUGAGAAAAGUUGCCCAAGAUAACCUGAAGCGAGUUAAAGCAGUGGUGAUGUAGCUGGUACUACUGUACUUUUCAAGGAGACACAGGUUCGAUCCCUGGUCUGGGAAGAUUCCACACGCCACAGGGCAACUAAGCCUCCAUGCUGCAACUACUGAACCUGUGCUUUAGAGCCCAUGAGCCGCAACUCCCAAGCCCACAUGCCACUACUGAAGCCUGCACACCCUAGAGCCUGCCUCUGCAGCAAGAGAAGCCACCACAGUGAGAAGCCCGUGCACCACAACUAGAGGCUAGCCCUGGUUUGUCACAACUAGAGAAAGGCUGCGUGCAGCAACAAAGACCCAGUGUAGCCAGAAAAAAUUCUAAAAAUUUAUCAGUGUAAUCUACCAUACUUGUCAUAAUUGUCCAAAGAAGAAAAAAUAUAUGAUCAUUAUCAACUGAUACAGAAAAAGCAUGUGAUAAAAUUCAACAUCCAUCCAUGAUUUAAAACUUUCAGCAAACUGGAAAUAGAAAAAAACUUACACAAGCUAAUAAGGGCAUUUAUAAAAAAUAUAGAGUUAACAUCACAUGAAAUGGUGAAAAGCUGGAUACUUUGUCCUAUUGUCAGGAACAAGGCAAUGAUGUCCAUUGUCACCAGUCCUAUUUAACAUCAUGUUGGAAGUCCUAGCCAGUGCAGUAGGACAAGGAAAAUAAAUAAAAGGCAUACAGUUUAUAAAGGAAGAAAUAAAACUUUCUCUAUUUGCAGAUGAUAUAACUGUUUACGUAGAAAAUCCCAA
This is a long non-coding RNA of Dama dama (fallow deer), 1121 nucleotides long. RefSeq lists it as uncharacterized. Lineage: Eukaryota; Metazoa; Chordata; Mammalia; Artiodactyla; Cervidae. The record is from RefSeq and is a predicted model, not a curated record. The transcript has 3 exons.